This 794-nucleotide long non-coding RNA is filed under the name Olea europaea subsp. europaea. Lineage: Eukaryota; Viridiplantae; Streptophyta; Magnoliopsida; Lamiales; Oleaceae. The record is from RNAcentral.
GCCCAUUACGGCUUGUUUGGGAGAUGUGGAGUGGUGUUUAUUUGGAGAUGUGUAUUUGGAAUUCCUUGGGUUCGAAUUUGGUUUAAGGUUGAGAUUUGUUGUAGUUUGACCUAAAUUCUUGUGGGAAUAGGAGUUAUAGUUGAGUUGGUCUUGGAGAAAUCAACUAAUGGACUGGGACAAAUUAUUACCGCAUUUUCACUAACUAGACGCUCGAGCGAUACCGUCAAAAUAGGAGCAGACAACUAUCGUCCCCUUGUCGCUUGAGCGACAGGGUUGCCGCUCGACGUCAUUCAACGUCGCUCGAGCAAUGGAGUUUCUCGGCUUUUCACGUUUUAACGCAUUUUGGACUCCUAUUCAUCUAUAACUAGGUCUUUUGGCUUCUCUAUAUAUACAAAUAUUCGUAUAUUGUAAUAUAACACAUGAAAAUCUUGAGAAAUUGAGAGAGAACAAAUUAUACAACAUCUUGUGAGCCUUAGAUUCAAUUGAGUGCAUUGAGUCUUGAUAUUGUAAACACAAUUCCUAUUGAUUAUAGUGAAUUUCUCUUCCUUUGUCCGUGGGUUUUUCCCGAUUUGGGUUUCCAUGUAAAAUCUCCGUGUUAUUACUUUUGUGCCUAUUUCAUUAUUGUCAAUAACUUUGCGAUCCGAAUUCAUAACAAUUGAUAUCGAAUCAAUCUGGUAUCUUGGUUAUCCUGUAACACUUUAUUUCUGGCAUUUUAGAACAUUUUAAUUUACUCACUAUUUCCUUCUUUGGGCUAUAGGUUUAUUUUGUGGCAGGGUUUUUGAAAGGUAAAAUAU